This 492-nucleotide ribosomal RNA is filed under the name uncultured bacterium. Its description in RNAcentral is "partial 16S ribosomal RNA". It matches the Rfam family "Bacterial small subunit ribosomal RNA", at positions 29 to 507 of the family's 1533-position model. The record is from RNAcentral.
AGUGAACGCUGGCGGUAGGCCUAACACAUGCAAGUCGAACGGCAGCACAGUAAGAGCUUGCUCUUACGGGUGGCGAGUGGCGGACGGGUGAGGAAUACAUCGGAAUCUACUUUUUCGUGGGGGAUAACGUAGGGAAACUUACGCUAAUACCGCAUACGACCUACGGGUGAAAGCAGGGGAUCUUCGGACCUUGCGCGAUUGAAUGAGCCGAUGUCGGAUUAGCUAGUUGGCGGGGUAAAGGCCCACCAAGGCGACGAUCCGUAGCUGGUCUGAGAGGAUGACCAGCCACACUGGAACUGAGACACGGUCCAGACUCCUACGGGAGGCAGCAGUGGGGAAUAUUGGACAAUGGGCGCAAGCCUGAUCCAGCCAUACCGCGUGGGUGAAGAAGGCCUUCGGGUUGUAAAGCCCUUUUGUUGGGAAAGAAGAGCAGCAGGUUAAUACCCCGCUGUUCUGACGGUACCCAAAGAAUAAGCACCGGCUAACUUCGUG